UACAGAGGUCUCAAGCGUUGUUCGGAUUCACUGGGCGUAAAGGGUGCGAAGGAGGUCAGGUCAGUCGGGUGUGAAAUCCCGCCGCUCAACGGCGGAACUGCAUUCGAUACUACUUGGCUAGAGGACCGGAGAGGUCACUGGAAUUCUCGGUGUAGCAGUGAAAUGCGUAGAUAUCGAGAGGAACACCAAUGGCGAAAGCAAGUGGCUGGAAGGUUCCUGACUCUGAGGCACGAAAGCUAGGGGAGCAAACAGG
Molecule: ribosomal RNA, 253 nt
Filed under: uncultured bacterium
Lineage: Bacteria
Description: partial 16S ribosomal RNA
Rfam family: Bacterial small subunit ribosomal RNA
Source: RNAcentral